Long non-coding RNA from Episyrphus balteatus (marmalade hoverfly), 695 nucleotides. RefSeq lists it as uncharacterized. Lineage: Eukaryota; Metazoa; Arthropoda; Insecta; Diptera; Syrphidae. The transcript has 3 exons. The record is from RefSeq and is a predicted model, not a curated record.
UAAUAUAAUUUCCCGACCUAUUCAGUGUUCCGUAAAUUCAAUAGAAGUAGUUUUAUACUAAUGUAGAGUAUAAAUAGCCACAGCGAACUGCUGAAAUAUCAAUUUGUAAAUGUGGACCUCACCAAAAACCCACCAUGCGAUAUGCGAUUUCCAGUUAUCAGCUCAAGAUAAGAGAGCAACUUUUUUUUAAUUUAUAAUACAAGUAAAGCUUCGAAAGCAUUAUAAUGCUUCAUUCUCGGCAAAGCAUUAUAAUGCUUGAUUCUCGGGUAUUCGUAUAUGAAACAAUUCUAGUCAUUGUGGCAACAUGCGAAAUUAGAGGCACUUGUGCAUUUAAAUUAAAUAAUUGUAUGGAGAAAAUAAUAGUGGAUGAGAUUCUGCAAUGAAGUACAUAAUAACAAAGUAUCAUUAAGUUAACAAAAGAAGUUUCUUCCUUUUGAUAUAUACAAGGCUUACUGUUGAUCUCGGUGUAGAUGGGACAUGACCAGCAGUCACUACCGGAAGAAGUACGUAGGCUGACAUCUCAAGCCAUUACAAUGAAGACAAGCCUACUCUUUGGGUGACAUGACCAGUUCUGAGAUCAACGAACGAGUUCAGGGACGACGACGAAGGGGUGUUUUUGUUUCGUGAUUAUUUGGGCCAUUUUUUUUUUAUGGAUUCAUUAUUGUUUGAGUUGUAUUUCUUUUGUUAAGAAAAUG